Long non-coding RNA from Aplysia californica (California sea hare), 609 nucleotides. RefSeq lists it as uncharacterized. NCBI's taxonomy places the organism in Eukaryota, Metazoa, Mollusca, Gastropoda, Aplysiida, Aplysiidae. The record is from RefSeq and is a predicted model, not a curated record. The transcript has 3 exons.
AACGUUAAUUAUAAGAGGUAUAAACCCCUCAAUGUUUGCAUCGUUACGAUAUAGGGACCUUAUAAACGGAAGUCUGUUAACACAGUGGUAGUUAUAGCAGAGAGAGAGAGAGGAAGCACGAUAGGUGAAGGCUUAUGUCGAUCUUGUACACUGCUCAACAACUGUAUGCUCGACAAUUGAAACUUAACCAGUGUUGCAGGAAAAGUGGGCGACCUGUUGCUUUUCGGUCCUUACCUCCGUGAUGCCAAGGUUUCUUCAGUUUCCAGGUCAAUAUUGGCGCUGUUUCUUUGGCAUCGUCGUUUUAAAGUUGAAUUCAAUAGCUACAAGGUGAUGUCUGGUGUGAGUCUAUUCGAGCAGUAAGUUUCUCCUCGUGCCAUCAAGAUGCAACCAGAGACAGACGAUAGAGAGCAAGAAGUAGCAGAUGUGUCCACUAAUGGCAACAGUCCACAGCCUAGGCUGGAUAUUGACAAGAACAACUGCUCUAGCAUCGACGUAGACGAUGUUUGGAAGUACCUUCACAGAUUUGGACGCUAUCAAAUGCUGCACUUUGUGCUACUUUGGAUUGUUUCACUGUCUCUCAGUUUUUCUAUUCUCUCUGGAGUCUUUGUC